Molecule: long non-coding RNA, 2661 nt
Organism: Corapipo altera (White-ruffed manakin)
Lineage: Eukaryota; Metazoa; Chordata; Aves; Passeriformes; Pipridae
Exons: 4
Source: RefSeq, a predicted model, not a curated record
AGGCGGGUGGUGACUCGGGAGCGUGGCGGGGCGGGCGCGGGUCCCGCCGCUUCGUGAGGGGGAGGCGGCCGUGCCCCGCCGUCCUCCGGCUCCCGCUCCCUUCUGAGGGCUCCCCUCGCGCCGCGUCCCCGCCGCUCCCGCCUUCCCCUUCACGCCGCGGGUCCGGCCGCUCCCGCCUUCCCCCUCACGGAGCGCGGCGCCGGCGGCUCCGAGCUGUGAGGGGGGAGCGGGGCGCCCUCGGUGAAAGCGCCUAAAACGCAACGCACAGACCGCAGACCUCCCUCCGCCUCAGCCCUCUGAUCUAAACGACACCUUUAGAUUAAACAGAAAUUUAUCUCCGGCCCAAAUAGGCCGGGAUUUGGCUCACCUGCGGCGCCCGUCGCCUGGACCCGGAGGAGGUGCCGGCUGUCUGGAAAACCAGGGAUGAGAAAACCGAGGGAUUUUCUGCAGGCUUGAUGUAACCCGCAGCAGGCUGUUGCAUCAAAGACUAGAAAAAGAACCCGGGACAAAAAUAAUCUUUUAAGUGCGUGCAGCUAAGAUUAGUGCAGCGUGUCAAGAUGUUGCUGAGCGCUACAGAACGAGUCCUGCCUGUACCAACACAGAAAUACUACUUUUCUGGCAUCUGCAACCCCGAGUAUCCAAAUUUUAUACCAGAGUGAUGUUUAGGGAUAGGAUCCGACCAUACAAUUUUGGCUUUAAAUUCAAGCUUCCCUCCCUUCUAGAUGUUGGGCUUGAGGGUUUAGAUGUGGCUCGUCAUAAAGACACAAGAUCCGUAUGAAAUUCUGAAUUUGUACUGUGAAUAUGUUCAAACCUACUGUAUUGCUUUACCUCAUCCCUCUGAGAAAUCCGACCAAAUAGGAGAAUAUAAAAGCAAAAAAGUACAAAAUAGGGCUUUCCCCCCCCCCCAUGCUUUUAUUAAUUUGAUUGUUUAUAGCAGAAAUGCUGCUCCUCCUACCCCUCAGGUAGGAAACGCCACAGCUGACACAAGCUAGUCUCUACCCGGGCAGCAGCAUUAAAUUAUUUAAAGUGCUGGUAGAGAUUUUUCCAAAUCAGUUUCUGCUAUGUUUUAAUCCUGGAAAUGCUUUUCAAGUAAAUAACAGUGGUGAAGUCCAUCUUCUGGCUCGUGAUACUAAUUUGGAUAUGCAAAGUGUUCUGUUCUCUUUGCCCUUGCUGGUUUUCCAUGUGGGCAUAAUUUUUAGCCUUCAGUGUUAACACCCAAGAUUAAUGGGUAUGUUCCUACUUCUAAGAGUAUUGUUUCAGCUGCUGUUGUACUGAGGCAAAAUCCCCGCACAGAUGUACGAAUAGUUCACUUUGCAGGGUAUAAGUUCACAGCCAUGAAAAUAUUCUUGACUAUUCGUAAUGGAAACUUGCAUUUUAGAGAAACAAAGUUCUUAAAUAUUCUGUGGCAGUUUUCAGCUCAUUUUAUAGGUAAAAUUUUUUGUAGAUGUCUUUGAUUUGCUGUUGAUUUAUUUCCCUCCACCAUUUCUGUCCUUCUAGGAUUAUCUGCAUUUAAUUACACGUUGUGUCAAGGUCAACAAAUUGCUGUCGAGGAUGGGGAUCUCGCUGUGCAAGGCCUGACACAAACACCAGUAGAGUUUCUGCCCAUCACAGCCAGCAUGCCCAUUUGCUUCCUCAAGAUUUCAGAGUGUGCAUCUGAGAAUUCUGACUGUGCAUCAUAAAGUUUCCCUCAGCAACUGCUAAAACUAUUCACAAGGCACUGCAGCAUGGAGCAGCUCUCAAAGAUGGAAUGAUGGAUGCUGGUUUGCCGGAAAAUAAAUGAAGCACAAGGAUGACUUCAAACAUUUGCAGGAGCCAUGCUGACACUCAAAAUAUAGAAACAUCAAGUAACUUUCCUGGUGAGAUCAUAAAAGCAGAGCCACAGUGAUCAAAGAAGAAAAUGCAAGACUCUUACUCCAUUUCUAAUACAAGAUCCAUUCUCCUUCUGGGACCAGGAGCCUCCAUGGCACAGAGAUGCUCCCAUAGUCUACAAAUACAGUACAUAAGCUACAGGACCAGAUGGCUCCCACACAUAAUGCUCUGAAUCAUGGCAAGGCUGGAGGUGUUUGUUCUGUGGCACAGCAAACACACGCUGGACCAGGUUAAACCCCCUCUCAGCCACAUAUGGUGCACGCUGCGUGGAGCUGCAGCAGGUGCCUAUGGAUCCACACAGAGGAAGAUCCUUUUCUUCUUGCAGGUUGUCAGGAAAAUGACUGUCAUACCUUCAGCACAAAUAGCAGGGAAUAGAGGCAGUGCAGUAACACAUGGCACAGGACAGAUGCUCGGCGCUUCCUGGGAUGCACAAUGCCUGAUGGCAAGGAAUCCUGGCGGGCCAAGGACAGGAGGCUCUUGUUCCCCCUCUGAUUCCCCCGUGCAGCUUGUGAUUAAACUGGUGCUGACACCUUGCCUGGUGCCUGUUUGCACAGCCAAUUGCCCUGGGCAGGACUUCUGGCCAUGAAGCACCUACUGGAAAAGGAGAGAAUCUCAUUGUUUGAGAGCAUCUUUGCCCCUGGCAUUUGUUAGACAGAAAAUAAAACUGAUUUUCUCCUCACUUGCCUCACGUAGAUGUGGGGUAGAUUCAAGCUGUGGCAGCCCUGUGAAAUAAGAGUGAAUGGGGGGUGUCUGCCAAUGGAACAACCACUGCUCAGGAGGACGAGGCUGGAG